RNAcentral lists this ribosomal RNA (348 nucleotides) under uncultured rumen bacterium. RNAcentral describes it as "partial 16S ribosomal RNA". The record is from RNAcentral.
UAUUCCCCACUGCUGCCUCCCGUAGGAGUCUGGACCGUGUCUCAGUUCCAGUGUGGGGGACCAACCUCUCAGUUCCCCUAGACAUCGCGGUCUUGGUGGGCCGUUACCCCGCCAACUAACUAAUGUCUCGCGAGCUCAUCCGUAUCCACCGAAGCUUUCAACUCGUGAAGAUGCCUCCACAAGUGUUAUGCGGUAUUAGACGACGUUUCCAUCGCUUAUCCCCCUAAUACGGGCAGAUUGCUCACGCGUUACGCACCCUUGCGCCGGUCGCCGCCAAGGUAUUGCUACCUCGCGCUGCCCCUCGACUUGCAUGUGUUAAGCCUGCCGCCAGCGUUCAUCCUGAGCCAA